Molecule: unclassified non-coding RNA, 405 nt
Filed under: soil metagenome
Description: partial contains 5.8S ribosomal RNA, internal transcribed spacer 2, and large subunit ribosomal RNA
Rfam family: 5.8S ribosomal RNA (bases 1-121)
Source: RNAcentral
GAUGAAGAACGUAGUGAAAUGCGAUAAGUAAUGUGAAUUGCAGAAUUCAGUGAAUCAUCGAAUCUUUGAACGCACCUUGCGCCCUUUGGCCAUUCCGAAGGGCAUGCCUGUUUGAGUAUCAUGAACACCUCAACUCUUUAUGGUUUUCCAUGAUGAGCUUGGACUCUGGGGGUUUUGCUGGCUCACAGUCGGCUCCUCUAAAAUGAAUCAGCUUACCAGUGUUUGGUGGGUAUCAUGGGUGUGAUAACUAUCUACGCUUGUGGUUUUUCCACCAGGUAACCUUCAGCAGUGGAGGUUCGCUGGAGCUCAUAGAUGUCUCUCCUCAGUGAGGACAGACCUUUGAAUGUUUGAUCUCAAAUCAGGUAGGACUACCCGCUGAACUUAAGCAUAUCAAUAAGCGGAGGA